GCUCAUCCAGAGGGGUGGAGGGACCGGCCCUGCGAAACCCCGGCAACCAUCUCGGUAUGUGAGACCCGUAAACCAGGCGGGACGACCGAGGCAGGUGCCAACUCCGGCCUGGGGUCAAGGUGGCCACCAGGAAAGAUGAGG
Molecule: non-coding RNA, 141 nt
Filed under: uncultured Nocardiopsis sp.
Lineage: Bacteria; Bacillati; Actinomycetota; Actinomycetes; Streptosporangiales; Nocardiopsidaceae
Description: SAM riboswitch (S box leader)
Rfam family: SAM riboswitch aptamer (S box leader)
About the family: The SAM riboswitch is found upstream of a number of genes which code for proteins involved in methionine or cysteine biosynthesis in Gram-positive bacteria. The SAM riboswitch acts at the level of transcription termination control.
Source: RNAcentral